Molecule: long non-coding RNA, 1771 nt
Filed under: Sus scrofa (pig)
Lineage: Eukaryota; Metazoa; Chordata; Mammalia; Artiodactyla; Suidae
Description: lncRNA (ENSSSCG00045037506.1)
Source: RNAcentral
CUGUGUGCGAAUGACGUAUCUUGUGCAUUUUAACUUUUUUUUUUUCGUAAUAUAAAUAUUCUGGUUUUGUAUUUUUGUGUAUUUUAAUCUAAGGCCCUCAUUCCUGCACUGUGUUCUCAGGUAAUGUGAGCAAUCUCAGGGAUAAGUCGGCAGCAGCUCCGGGUCUACACAGCAGGAAUACUUUUUGUUGCUGUCUCACCAGAGAGAACAACUAUGUGGAGUGUAUAGCCUACUGAACUACCUCAUUUUUGCCAAUUAGAGCUGGCUUUUCUGCCAUAGUAGGGGGGAAGCCAAGAUUAGGUGAAGGUCAUCUUAUGUGAUAAGGGAUUCCUGUUCCAGACCUCUAACCCUGUGGCACAGGACUUGUUUUAACUACCAGAUCCAUCCUUCACUGGAUUGGGCUAGGCCUACCACACUCAACAGGGUGUAUGUGUUUGCAAAAAAGGCGAGUUGGUAAGGAUAGGUUUUAAGAAUGAUGCCUCUGUACCCAUCUUGAGCUGCCCAGGGAUGGAUAUAUGAACCAAGGACAAAAUCCUUAAACCUUGAACAAUUCUGGGCUUUUCCUCCUUGGCUUCCAGAGGGACCAUCAGCGAUGGUUUCUUUGUGGUUCCCAGAGCCAGUGUCCUGCCCUGCUGCAGCAGUGAUGAAUGUCAUAGUAGCUAAAGGAGAAAAGGGGGUUUCGUUUACAUGCUGUGAGAUCACUGCAAACCUACCUCACUGUGUUGUAACGGGGCAAAUGCAAUAGAACGCAUUGGGUGAUGUGUGUCUUAGCCUGGGUUCUUGUCUCCCCCAACUGCUGCCCCCCUUUAGUUAUUGUAUUUGUCUGGGCUUUGUAGGACUUCACAAGUAGCUGAUUUGGUGAUUGCUAGGUGGCCUAGUUUGUGUAAAUAUAAUAUGUUGGUCUUCUCCAUGUUCUUUUGGGGUUUUAUUGUUUACAAACUUCUUUUUAUAUUGAGAAAAGUAGCCAAAGCAUCUUUGACAAAAGGUUCUGCACCAGGCAAAAAGAUCUGAAACAUAAGCUUGGGGGCCUCUCUUUUUGAAAUGGGGGGUCUUGAACCACACUUUCUUUUGUUCCCCUUCCCCUAUUUCCUAUUUUAAACAAGAACUUCUGUCCUCAAAACUAGAUCUCCCCCCCAAUAGCCUGUAUACCUAUCCAUUAAUUUGUGGGGUGUCUGCAAUUCUUAAAUGAUUUGUGCAAAAAUCCUAAGAAGCUAAGACCUCUCCAUCCCUUGUUCCCAGUCUCCUGAGUCAAGACCAUUCCUUGAUGUGGUUCAUGCCAAACAGACUGCUACUUUUGGAUAGAUUAAAACCUAUUUCAAUCUCUAAUCCUAGGGUAGAGAAAAACAAUAUGGGGGCCUUCCAUGUAGAAAGUGGGGUUGGGAGACCAAGAAAGGAAAGAUGAAUGUAUAUCCAAGUCACUCAGGAACUUUUAUGCAGGUGCAAGAAACUUAUGUCAAAGUGGCCACAAGAUUGUUUAAUAGGAGACGGACGAAUGUAACUCCAUGUUUACUGCUAGAAACCAAAGCUUUGUGCGAAAUCUUGAAUUUAUGGGGCGGGAGGGAGGGAAGGAAAACAUGUACCUGUCUGUUCUUUGCCUCAUCCCUUCCCUUCAUUCCUGAACUGCAGGAGACUGAGCCCUCUUGGGCUUUGGUGACCCCAUCUGGGGAGUGUUUAUUUGAUGGUUGACUUUGCUGUGCCAGGUACUUCCUUUCCUAUUUUACCAUCAUUUUGUAACACACAUGCUGACCCUUACCCCUUCCCCUUCUUUUCC